RNAcentral lists this ribosomal RNA (565 nucleotides) under uncultured marine eukaryote. RNAcentral's name for it is "SSU rRNA". It matches the Rfam family "Eukaryotic small subunit ribosomal RNA", at positions 621 to 1206 of the family's 1831-position model. The record is from RNAcentral.
AAAAAGCUCGUAGUCGGAUUUUGGCUGAGAACGGUCGGUCCGCCGUUAGGUGUGCACUGACUGGUCUCAGCUUCCUGGUGAGGAGGUGUGCUUCAUCGCCACUUAGUCACCGUGGUUACUUUGAAAAAAUUAGAGUGUUCAAAGCGGGCUUACGCUUGAAUAUAUUAGCUUGGAAUAACACCAUAGGACUCCUGUCCUAUUUCGUUGGUCUCGGGACGGGAGUAAUGAUUAAGAGGAACAGUUGGGGGCAUUCGUAUUUCAUUGUCAGAGGUGAAAUUCUUGGAUUUAUGAAAGACGAACUUCUGCGAAAGCAUUUGCCAAGGAUGUUUUCAUUGAUCAAGAACGAAAGUUGGGGGCUCGAAGAUGAUUAGAUACCAUCCUAGUCUCAACCAUAAACGAUGCCGACUAGGGAUUGGCGGAUGUUAAUUGAUGACUUCGCCAGCACCUUAUGAGAAAUCAAAGUUUUUGGGUUCCGGGGGGAGUAUGGUCGCAAGGCUGAAACUUAAAGGAAUUGACGGAAGGGCACCACCAGGCGUGGAGCCUGCGGCUUAAUUUGACUCAACAC